Molecule: ribosomal RNA, 254 nt
Filed under: uncultured bacterium
Lineage: Bacteria
Description: partial 16S ribosomal RNA
Rfam family: Bacterial small subunit ribosomal RNA
Source: RNAcentral
UACGUAGGGAGCAAGCGUUGUCCGGAAUCAUUGGGCGUAAAGCGCGCGUAGGCGGCCCCGUAAGUCCGCUGUGAAAGACCGAGGCUCAACCUCGGGAUGUCAACGGAGACUGUCGGGCUUGGAGUGUCGGAGAGGAGCGGGGAAUCCCUGGUGUAGCGGUGGAAUGCGUAGAUAUCGGGAGGAACACCAGUGGCGAAGGCGGUUGCCUGGAGCUUUGCUGACGCUGAUGCGCGAAAGCGUGGGGAGCGAUCCGG